AUGGACGAUCCUACUGCUCAGCCUCCUGUGGUUGCUGCUGCUCAGGCUCAGGCUCAGGGUCAGGGUCAGGAUCAGGAUCAGGAUAUCACGCCCUUGGUUAAUUGGGUCCCAGUGUUUGAACGAAGCAAAGCAUCGGUCUUCCUCAUCCAGUUUACACCAGUAAGACGUCGGGUGAAUGAAGCCCGGGUUAUCGCUGGGGCAGCCGGCUCCAAGACUCGAGAGCAGCUGAACGCAAUUUUCGCAUCACGGUGGCUAACAGAAACUGGCAUCUCCUCGCACAUGGAUGGCGCCUACCUUUACAUUCUCACCACCGCACACAUUGUGGAUCAUCUGUUCCAUGCGGUCUACAGGCCAAUUGAUCCAGCCACGGUGAACCGGCUCUUUACAAUCGAGGUCACAUGUUUCCAUGCCGAGAGAGACUUCGCAGUUAAUAGGAACAUGGUCGGGGAUCGCACCUACACGCCGGCGACGGUCUGCGGGAUUGACUGCCUGAGGGAUUUGAUGAUGCUGCGCGUCGAUCGGGCAGAGCUGGCCGUGAGGGGCGUCGGGCAGCAGAGGGUGCAAUGCACACGGCAGCACCCGGUUCUGCAGUUUGACGGAACACGCGAGUUUGGCAUGCAGUGCAUGCUCGUUUCGUGGCCUGCCUUCCGUCCCUGCACCUUCGCCACGGGCCUUCAGUGCCUCCACCGGUUUCUGACUGGCAUGAGCACCAACCCAGUUGGGUAUGAUAUGGAGCUGCUCGAGGCUUACAUCGGAUCCGAUCAGGGGUCCUCGGGAGGCCCUCUCUUCAACGCCGCUGGCCAGGUAAAGGGUAUUCUACACGGAGGGAGUGGGACGCACUCACAGUUCAUUUUGCCCGGAGAUAUUCUACCUUUCAUCCAGAACAAUGCCCCCCCUCAGCCACCUUCAACGUCAUCUUCAUCUCCCCGGGGUCCCAGAGGAGGAGGAGGAAGAGGAGAAGGAGGAGGUGGUCCCAAGCGCGGUCCUAACAAAGAUGACAAGUCGGGUCCAUCAGAUCCUCCAAAGCGCCGUCGGAGUGUCCGUGACAAGGGCAAGGCCACCGCUGCAUGGGGAUCCGGCCGGUGGAGGUACACGCUCAGAUCCCACGGCAAGGGCAUGGCCGUUGGUGCAGGUGGAUCCGGCCAGAAGUAUCUGCUUAGACCCCGCUCAUGA
RNAcentral lists this ribosomal RNA (1173 nucleotides) under Triticum aestivum (bread wheat). Its description in RNAcentral is "partial small subunit ribosomal RNA". The record is from RNAcentral. Lineage: Eukaryota; Viridiplantae; Streptophyta; Magnoliopsida; Poales; Poaceae.